RNAcentral lists this ribosomal RNA (253 nucleotides) under uncultured bacterium. RNAcentral's name for it is "partial 16S ribosomal RNA". It matches the Rfam family "Bacterial small subunit ribosomal RNA", at positions 524 to 776 of the family's 1533-position model. The record is from RNAcentral.
GACGUAGGGCGCGAGCGUUGUCCGGAUUUAUUGGGCGUAAAGAGCUCGUAGGCGGCUCGUUGCGUCAACCGUGAAAACCCGGGGCUCAACUCCGGGCCUGCAGUCGAUACGGGCUGGCUUGAGUGCGGUAGGGGAGACUGGAAUUCCUGGUGUAGCGGUGAAAUGCGCAGAUAUCAGGAGGAACGCCGGUGGCGAAGGCGGGUCUCUGGGCCGUAACUGACGCUGAGGAGCGAAAGCGUGGGGAGCGAACAGG